This 457-nucleotide long non-coding RNA is filed under the name Citrus sinensis (sweet orange). RNAcentral describes it as "long non-coding RNA (CSIN_LNC002918)". The record is from RNAcentral. Lineage: Eukaryota; Viridiplantae; Streptophyta; Magnoliopsida; Sapindales; Rutaceae.
ACCACGCAAGGGAGCAUCAAGAAAACUGGCGCAAGAUGAGAAACUUUGAUGCUUCAUGGCAGUUUCUGCUCAUUUAGGAUGAUUAUUCUAUAAACUUAUCAUUAAUGAAGGAGUUCGCACGUGCGUUCAAAGAGUUCCAGGUAUGUUGCUAUAAGGUUCCAGCUAGUUUCUUACAUUUCAAGUCAUUCCGUUUACUCUAUUCCAUUAGAACAGUCGGUUCAAAUUAAUACACAAAAUUUACAGAAAGAGAAAAAUUGAAUAUGUGUAUUUACAGUGUUCAUUCCUCUCUUGGGAUCCACCGGCUCCACCAUAGACUCUUUUGGCGUAUGUUAAACUCAUCCAUGCUCUCAUUCAGUGUCCUUACAAUCCUUCUCUGCAGUUUAAGGGCUGAAGCAAGAGCGUUUCUCUGAGCACUUCCCUUCCGCAGCGGCUUUAUUUCCUACACAACAAGGAACAG